RNAcentral lists this unclassified non-coding RNA (362 nucleotides) under uncultured Dehalococcoidia bacterium. RNAcentral's name for it is "contains 16S-23S intergenic spacer region". Lineage: Bacteria; Bacillati; Chloroflexota; Dehalococcoidia. The record is from RNAcentral.
UCUCCCCUUUUAGGAGCAGUCUCGCUAGACAGAGUAACUAGCGACGAGGGUUGCGCUCGUUGCGGGACUUAACCCAACACCUCACGGCACGAGCUGACGACAGCCAUGCAACAUCUGUGCACCUGUCCCGAAGGAAGACCCACUUUCGUGGGCUGUCAGGUGCAUGUCAAGUCCAGGUGAGGUUCUUCGCUUAGCAUCGAAUUAAACCACACGCUCCGCUGCUUGUGCGGGGACCCGUCAAUUCCUUUGAGUUUUAGCCUUGCGGCCGUACUCCCCAGGCGGGAUACUUAUCGCGUUAGCUUCGGCACGGGAGGGGUCGAUACCCCCCAUACCUAGUAUCCAUCGUUUAGGGCGUGGACUAC